GAUGAACGCUAGCGGCAGGCUUAAUACAUGCAAGUCGAGGGGCAGCAGGUCCCGCAGCAAUGCGGGAUGCUGGCGACCGGCAAACGGGUGCGGAACACGUACAGAACCUUCCUUUAAGUGGGGAAUAGCCCGGGGAAACCCGGAUUAAUACCCCGUAACAUAAUGAAGUGGCAUCACUUUAUUAUUAUAGCAGCAAUGCGCUUGAAGAUGGCUGUGCGGCUGAUUAGGUAGUUGGCGGGGUAACGGCCCACCAAGCCUACGAUCAGUAACUGGUGGGGGAGCAGCACCAGUCCCACGGGUACGGGGACACGGGCCCGACUCCUACGGGAGGCAGCAGUAAGGAAUAUUGGGCAACGGACGCAAGGCUGACCCAGCCAUGCCGGGUGGAGGAUGAAGGUCCUCUGGAUUGUAAACUUCUUUUAUCUGGGAAGAAAUCUAUUUUUUCUAAAGUAGUUGACGGUACCAGAUGAAUAAGCACCGGCUAACUCCGUGCCAGCCGCCGCGGUAA
RNAcentral lists this ribosomal RNA (508 nucleotides) under uncultured bacterium. Its description in RNAcentral is "partial 16S ribosomal RNA". It matches the Rfam family "Bacterial small subunit ribosomal RNA", at positions 28 to 523 of the family's 1533-position model. The record is from RNAcentral.